RNAcentral lists this long non-coding RNA (1403 nucleotides) under Marmota monax (woodchuck). The record is from RNAcentral. Lineage: Eukaryota; Metazoa; Chordata; Mammalia; Rodentia; Sciuridae.
AGUAAGCAAUCAUCAAACAUUUAAGGAAAGCUUCAAAUAUGAAAGAAAGAGACCAAAAUAGAAAAAAAUUAAAUUAAUUUUAAAAAAGCAGUUCAGAGUUUAUGAAGAAAAAAAGCACUGGCAAAAAGAACAUCCAUAAUUAUUUUCCGGAGAGAAAUAAGAAAACACAGUGCUUCCAUAAAACAAGAGCAAUAAAAGAGAAUAAUUCUGUCAGUAAGAAAAUUAAAAUAGCAUAAAUAAAAAUCUCAAGAGCAAUUUGAAGAUAAAGUCAAGAAAAUAUUUUAAAUGGCAGACCAAUGAGAGAAAAGAAAAAAAAAAAGAGCAUCAGCCAUGUUAUCCAAUAUUUCGAUAAUUUUUAAAGCACUACCUGAAAACAGAAAGAAGAAAUGGGAUAAUAUCAUUAAAUAUAUACACUUUAAAAAUUACUACAACUAGAGAACACAAAUCCAGAUUGAAAAAUCUGUUGAAGGCCCAACACAUGAAAAAGUCACAUACCCACCUCAAGGCACAUGAUUAUAAAAUUUUAGUACUUUGGAGGAAGUGGAUAUUCUGAAAGCAUUUAAGUGUAAGUUUAAAAAAGAAAACUCAUAAAGGAUCAAGAGAGGAAUUGGUUUUACGACCACAACUUUGGAAACUAAAAGAAAAUGGAGGAAUGUCUUCAAAAUUAUGAAGAAAAGUGCUUUCCAAUUUAGAUUUCUAUACCCUGAAAAACAACUUAGUGAAUUAGAGUAUUAACAGAAUUUAAUAUCUCCCAAAAUAUAUUUGCCUACACCAUUUCUCACAAAGUUUCUGGAGGAUGUAUUCCACUAAAACAAUAAAGGCAACAGAGAAAGGAAAAGCAUGGGAUCCAAAAUGGGAGACAAAAGACAGAGAAAGGUAAAAGAAAUUCCCAGGAUUAUGGUGAAAGAAGAUCCCCAGUGCAAGACCAGACCAAGAAAGUAGCAGUCUAAAGGGGAGCAGUAGGAAGGGGAGCUCUAGAAUAAAAAUAUAAACUAUAUAUAUUUGCAUAUGUCAAAAGAGUUUUCUUUUAAUAUAUUUGCAUAUAUCAAAAGAUUUCAAAUACAGAGUUUGGGGAUGAACUGGUGAUCAAUUCAUAGAUAAGAACAAAAUAGGUAUAAAAAAUGAGGUAAUCAUUAACUUUAUGAGGGAAAAGUGUACUAGGCACAAAAGGUAAUAUUUGAUGUGCUCCUAUAAUCAUGUUGGUAAUUUAUCUGGUAAAAACGGGGUGAUAUAGAAUUUGUUUGGUAGAGGGUAAAUGUAUGUGUGUGUGUGUGUGAGAGAGAGUGAGUGAGAGAGAGACAGAAAGACAGACAGCGGCAUAUAAGAGAGUCACUUUUUAUUGUAGGUUAUCAAUGGGUAAUACCUAAAGACUGGUAUAUUAGGAGAAAGAGCUAAAGGAAUUG